This 460-nucleotide small RNA is filed under the name Pongo abelii (Sumatran orangutan). RNAcentral describes it as "processed transcript". Lineage: Eukaryota; Metazoa; Chordata; Mammalia; Primates; Hominidae. The record is from RNAcentral.
UUAUAUCAAUGAAGUCCGAGUCAUACCCCCAGGAGUAAGAGCCCAUAGCAGUCUGCCAGACAAUAGAGCAUAUGGAGAGACAUCUCCGCAUACAUUUCAAUUAGACUUAUUCUUCAACAAUGUAAGCAAACCAAGUGCCCCUGUUUUCGAUAGGUUGGGAAGCCUGGAAUAUGAUGAGAAUACUUCCAUCAUCUUUAGACCUAACUCAAAGCUGAUGGGGAGAAAGAAGAUCAGUUUAAUGGAAGCCCUCCAAGACCACAGCCAAGGGGACCAAGAACUCCUCCAGGACCCCCUCCACCUGAUGAUGAUGAAGAUGAUCCUGUGCCUCUGCCAGUGUCUGGUGACAAGGAAGAGGAUGCUCCUCAUAGAGAAGAUUACUUUGAGCCCAUUUCUCCUGAUCGGAAUUCUGUUCCCCAGGAAGGGCAAUAUUCUGAUGAAGGAGAAGUAGAAGAGGAACCAC